UUAGAUUAACAAUAUUUUUUUAUAGAAAUAGAUAUUUAAAUAGGGUUAUAAUAUAAUGUAUUAUUUUAGAUUUAUUAUUAUUUUAUUACUGUGAAGGAUUCAUGAAAAUUAUGAAAAAUUUUAAAAUUUAAAAAGUAUUUUUUUAAAAGUACCUUUUGCAUCAGGGUUUCUUAAAUAAAUAAAAAUAUUUUUUAUUCCCGAAGUUAAUAUGAUCUAUUAAAAUAUAAUUUUUAUGUUUAAAUAUAAUUAUUAAUGUUUUGAUAGAAAUGAAAUUUUAUUCAAAUUUAAGGAUAUCUGGUUAUAAUAAUAAUGAUUAAACAUCUAUCUAUUAUAAGUUUAUAUUAGUGUAAUUAAAUAGAAACGAUCUGUUGGGAUAAGCUUGCAGAUUAGAUUUUAAAUUAAAAAACAUAAGAUAAUAAGGAAUAAAAUUUUCUUUAUCUUUUAAUAAAGAAUUUUGAGUUAUGUGAAUAGGUAUUUAAAUUUUCUUUAUGAUAUUAAUAAUUUUGUUAAAAUUUAAAAAUAAGAGAAUUAGUAAAAUUGAAUUUAAAAGUGAAUUAGAUUUAAGGUUUUUAAAAUAGCUUUGUGAAAUUAAAUUAUAGGAAUUCGGCAAAAGUUAAGAGUUGACUGUUUAACAAAAACAUUUCAUUUUGAGUUAAUAAAAUGUAAAACCUGCUCAAUGAUUAUUAAAUUGCUGUGGUAUUUUGACUAUACGAAGGUAUUGAAAUAAGGCUUUAAAUGAGUGCUAAGAGAAUGGUUUAACGAUUCUAAGCUUUCUUUAAUUAAAAAAUUGAAUUUAAUUUUUUUGUGAAGAAGCAAGGAUUUAAAUUAGGGACAAGAAGACCCUAUGAAUUUUGUAUUAAAUUUUGUUAUAAUUUCGAAAUUAUAACGUUUAAAUUAUUUGGGGUGAGUAGAAAAGAAUAUUUAUCUUUUUUUUAAAAUUAAUUUGUUCCGUUUUUAACGAUUUUAUGAAAAAAAUACUCUAGGGAUAACAGCGUAAUAAUUUUGGAUAGUUCUUAUAGAUAAAAUAGUUUGCGACCUCGAUGUUGGAUUAGGAUUCUUUUUUAGUGAAGAAAUUAAAUAGAAGAAGUUUGUUCAACUUUUAAAUUCCUACAUGAUCUGAGUUCAGACCGGCGUGAGCCAGGUUGGUUUCUAUCUUAAUUAAAAAUAUAUUUAUUUUUUUAGUACGAAAGGAAUAAGAAAUAUUAAUAAAAUUAAAUUAAUUUAUUAAAUUUGAUUAA
This 1238-nucleotide ribosomal RNA is filed under the name Ixodes simplex. RNAcentral describes it as "16S ribosomal RNA". The stretch from base 985 to 1144 matches the Rfam family "Archaeal large subunit ribosomal RNA", at positions 2544 to 2703 of the family's 2987-position model. The record is from RNAcentral. Lineage: Eukaryota; Metazoa; Arthropoda; Arachnida; Ixodida; Ixodidae.